AUCCCGUUUUUCCAGGAAGAUCAUACAGGCCCUUCUUUCUUCAUGGAAUGGACCUCACACUGUUGUCAAACAUCUGUUGUCUGUAGGAUUAUGACCCUGAAACUACAAUUGGAGCUAUUCGAAACCCCAUCACCUUAUGAAUAUACAUCAUGGACUGCCAGAAGAAUCAACAUGUCUAUUUGGAAGGAAGUACUGCCAGACAGUCCUUAGAAGCAAGGACGGCAAGACUUUGCUUCAGGAUCGCCGCAUCGGAAUGGAGUCAAUGGCCCAACAACAACCACAGUAACAUUUCUGGAAGCAGACUGCCAAGUCGUCCUCUCAAGUUGCUCCUGGGGAAGGAACCUUAUUUAACACAGCCAUGGACUGCUAGAAGAACAAAUUGUCUUGUAAGAAGGAUGCUUGGAAUGACC
Molecule: long non-coding RNA, 410 nt
Organism: Echinops telfairi (small Madagascar hedgehog)
Lineage: Eukaryota; Metazoa; Chordata; Mammalia; Afrosoricida; Tenrecidae
Exons: 5
Source: RefSeq, a predicted model, not a curated record